RNAcentral lists this unclassified non-coding RNA (201 nucleotides) under Hevea brasiliensis (rubber tree). The record is from RNAcentral. Lineage: Eukaryota; Viridiplantae; Streptophyta; Magnoliopsida; Malpighiales; Euphorbiaceae.
AACAAAAACAACAAGGAAAAUGGCACUUGAGAGUGAAUUUACACAUCAAGCUUGCUUACCACAAAGAUAUGCCAAACAACUUUAAAAAUAUUAAUAGAAUGUAAUCUUUAAGCAUUCAAUUUUUGGACCAUGCACUGUUCUAUCUGCAACAAGUUUUGAUCAUCUAUAAAAAGAAAAUCCAUGACUAAUCUCAACAUCUAU